AGUGAACGCUGGCGGUAGGCCUAACACAUGCAAGUCGAACGGCAGCACAGUAAGAGCUUGCUCUUACGGGUGGCGAGUGGCGGACGGGUGAGGAAUACAUCGGAAUCUACUUUUUCGUGGGGGAUAACGUAGGGAAACUUACGCUAAUACCGCAUACGACCUACGGGUGAAAGCAGGGGAUCUUCGGACCUUGCGCGAUUGAAUGAGCCGAUGUCGGAUUAGCUAGUUGGCGGGGUAAAGGCCCACCAAGGCGACGAUCCGUAGCUGGUCUGAGAGGAAGAUCAGCCACACUGGAACUGAGACACGGUCCAGACUCCUACGGGAGGCAGCAGUGGGGAAUAUUGGACAAUGGGCGCAAGCCUGAUCCAGCCAUACCGCGUGGGUGAAGAAGGCCUUCGGGUUGUAAAGCCCUUUUGUUGGGAAAGAAAAGCAGCAGGUUAAUACCCCGCUGUUCUGACGGUACCCAAGGAAUAAGCACCGGCUAACUUCGUG
This 492-nucleotide ribosomal RNA is filed under the name uncultured bacterium. Its description in RNAcentral is "partial 16S ribosomal RNA". It matches the Rfam family "Bacterial small subunit ribosomal RNA", at positions 29 to 507 of the family's 1533-position model. The record is from RNAcentral.